CUUGAUAUAGAAAGUGUUUAUAAUUUUAAUAAUAAUUUAUAAGAGAAUCAUGUUGCAUUUAAAAAGUUUCCUUUAAGGAAAACGUUGACCAUGACAUUAUCUUCAUUCCAUAAAGGUUCAGUGACAGGGUAAUGACUCUAAAAAUGUGGCCGUGUGCAAACACUGUCUGCAUGGUUGGUAUCACAAGCUGGUACUUUUCCAAAAUACUUCUGAAAACUGGGCUAGCGACCAGGGCUUGGUGAAAAGAUGUUGAUGUUUUAAAGGAUUUUUACUCCAAAUAAAAGUUUUGAUUUAUAAAAAGGGUAUUACAAGAAUUUACAUUAUCAUUUUGAGCAGUAGUUAGCUUCUUGAUAAAUAUGUUCAUAUUUUCUGGGAGAAGAGUUUUGCCUUAUAAUAUAAAAAGAAAUAGCACUUGAAAAAGACUGGAAAAAUAUUUUGAGCAUGAAAACCUCAGUGACAAACAGGCAAAUGGCGCAAUAAUUUGGUUUUACACCCUCUUGGAAAACACAGCAGGGAUGGGCCAGGAGCGUUGAAAAUGUGUAAAUAUCCACAGCGAGGCCACUUCCCCCAUCAGGGACUUCUGCGACCACCAUGUGUGACCUCCGGGAAUGUGUGGAAACUGGUCCCAGAGCCCAGUGAGCCGGCUAGGAAGGCGGCCUCUUCUGAGGACACACAAAUGGCUCCAGAGCCUGUUUCUGUCUCGGCAAAGUGACAAGUGAGGCCACGAGAGGCCAGAAUAUAGCUCCCCACGGGCUAGAAUAUAGAAUGGCCAGCAGGCAAUGGGUGAAGAGAGGUUUCCGCCACAAGAGGAGAACUUCCUGCACUAUCCUCCCCACUGACUUGCAAGCAGGAGCUGGUGGAAAACAAAAUGAAUGAGGAGCAAAUGACUCUUGGAAAAACC
RNAcentral lists this long non-coding RNA (901 nucleotides) under Equus caballus (horse). RNAcentral describes it as "lncRNA (ENSECAG00000049338.1)". The record is from RNAcentral. Lineage: Eukaryota; Metazoa; Chordata; Mammalia; Perissodactyla; Equidae.